Molecule: small nuclear RNA, 107 nt
Organism: Camelus dromedarius (Arabian camel)
Lineage: Eukaryota; Metazoa; Chordata; Mammalia; Artiodactyla; Camelidae
Source: Ensembl
GUGCUCGCUUCAGCAGCACAUAUACUAAAAUUGGAAUGAUACAAAGAUGAUUAGUAUGCCCCCUGCGCAAGGAUGAUGUGCAGAUUUGUGAAGUGUUCUGUGUUAGC